GGGCUCUGGUUAAAUUAGGGACGACCUUUUUACUACAGUGGCCGUGUAGGUAGUACGGUUUAAUAUCUGUCCCUACAGGAUGGCAGCGAGGGCAGAUAAAGAGCUUCAACUCUUUUGUGUUCUACAGAGUUGAUUUUGGAUAGAGUUAGCUGAAACGUUGACUGGAUGUCGGGGCGGGCGCUGCGGUCCUGUGUUGGAGAUUAUCGUACAGUCGUGCUGAGCUGAGGCUCAUGGACUGCACAUUUUUCCGCCGCAGAUUUCUGGUGCCUGCAGAAUUCAUUCUGUUUCCGCAUCCUCCGUGAGGCCGCAAACCUGAAAAGUUGGGUAGAUGGCGGACUCAGUGCACAAUGUUGAAGACAGAAGCGGUAUCCCAAUGUGAAGUCGAGUGUGUUUUAGGUUUGGGCGCAGUUCUGGAGUGCAGAUUUAGAGCUGGCAGCAGCACAGCCCAGGAGGAGGCUAAGGACCGGAAGCUGCCAUUCAUUCAGUUUGAGAACCUAAAUGACAUUAGCAUUUGGUACAGAAGAAACAAGUUGGGCAUGAUGGCACAGGAUGUAAUCUCAGCAAAAGUUGAAAUCCCAGAAGAAAGAAGCUUAACCCCCGGUAUCAGAGGCCUUUCUUCUCAGCAGAACUGUUGUAUCUGGCAACUUUCUAAGACAGGCACAUUUAGUGUGGUUCACUGACCUGAACAAUAAACAGGAGCUCCUGUGUCUUCAGAAA
Long non-coding RNA from Fukomys damarensis (Damara mole-rat), 717 nucleotides. RefSeq lists it as uncharacterized. The transcript is spliced from 4 exons. NCBI's taxonomy places the organism in Eukaryota, Metazoa, Chordata, Mammalia, Rodentia, Bathyergidae. The record is from RefSeq and is a predicted model, not a curated record.